Molecule: non-coding RNA, 1563 nt
Organism: Sinocyclocheilus grahami
Lineage: Eukaryota; Metazoa; Chordata; Actinopteri; Cypriniformes; Cyprinidae
Source: the annotation of a RefSeq genome assembly
GGUUAUGGUAUGGCUCUUAUCGUAAAUCUUCUCGUUGUGACGGUGCCUUUGACUACUGGGGAAAGGGAACAACGGUGACUGUAACAUCAGCUCAACCUUCUGCGCCAAAGUCAAUCUUCCCCAUGUCCCAGUGUACUUCUGAUUCUGAUGCGUUCCUCACCAUCGGCUGCUUGGCAAGAGGUUUCUCACCUGUGGACUCGCUUACUUUUAAAUGGACGGAUUCUACUACGAAGGAUUUGAGUGAUUUCGUGCAGUAUCCAGCAUUCGGACCGGAUGGAGACUAUACCAAAAUCAGCUCUCUGCGCAUAAGAAAAAGCGAUUGGGAUCCUAAGAAACCGUACAAAUGCGAAGCUUCAAAUUCUAAAGGCACACUAGAAUCCCCUGUUGCUCCACGGAGUCCAAGAAAUCCAACCCUGGUUCCUGUAACAACCCUAAAAACUAAAUUGUCACUGACAAUGAAGCCACCAAUUCAGAAAGAACUUUUUGUUAAUGAUAAAAUUGUCUUGCAAGCUGUUGUUUCUGGAGAUGUAAGAAAUACAGUGCAAGACACUUCAGUAUCAUGUAAAGUGAAGGAUGAACAUGUGCCCAAUGAAAAUAUUGCAACAGGGAAUGUUGAAUUUUCUACUGACACGUCACAAUUUAAAAUAAUUCACAAUGUCACCGUUAAUACAAAUAAAUGGUUUGAUGGUUUCAUGGUCACCUGCACCAUCAGUGACAUAAAUAACGGAGACAUCAAGCAGACGAUCCGUUUUCAAAAAGGAGAUGAAAAUAAACCAAAUGUUACCAUUUACAAACCUGAUAGUAACGUCACAGAUCAUGUCUCUCUGGUGUGUGAGGUCACCAGUCCUAAACUCAGCGAUGUCUAUAUCAUGUGGAGAGUGGGUAAAGAGUCUUACAGAGAGGGCACAAACAGUGCUCCCAUCCAUCAAAAGCACUCCACGUCUGUUCUCAGCAUCCUAACAGUUUCAGAACAAGAGUAUAAAAACACCAUCAGCUGCGCAGUCAAAUAUGCCAACAUGGACAAAAAAGGUGUUCCAUUAGAAGUUUCAACAAGCCAAAGUAAACAGCCAGAACUUUCAUCUGAAAAAAGAUGUAUGAUUUAUGUUCUCACAUAUGUGUUGCACCAUGUGCUUACCAUACAUAUGUCUCCUGUACAUGUGUUUUCUUUUUUAGGUGAGCCACCUGAGCCAGAGACAGGCUUUGCUCUGGACUGCAAUAAAGAUGUUCUGGAGGAGGAUGAGUUCAGAAGUCUCUGGUCCACUGCCACCUCAUUUAUCUUCCUCUUCCUCUUUUCUCUGACCUACAGCGCUGUGCUCAGCUUCUUCAAGGUGAAGCAGUGAUGAUUUGUUAAAAGAACUUGUGAAGACUCAAAGGUUUUUUAUUUGUUUUGUGACUGUAAUUAAAUGUUAGUCUAAUGUAUUUAGAAAUCAAAUAACCAUGCCAUCUCUAUCUCUCUUUUGCUCUGUCUGUUCCUGUCUUUCUGUAAGCUUGUCUGAAAAACAUAUGGGCUUUCUGAGAUGUUGAAACUACAUAAUUUGCCUCUGUGCACACAUUUUUGAAGAC